RNAcentral lists this ribosomal RNA (465 nucleotides) under Extubocellulus spinifer. RNAcentral describes it as "partial Bacterial large subunit ribosomal RNA". It matches the Rfam family "Bacterial large subunit ribosomal RNA", at positions 1479 to 1924 of the family's 2925-position model. Lineage: Eukaryota; Bacillariophyta; Thalassiosirophyceae; Cymatosirales; Cymatosiraceae. The record is from RNAcentral.
AGGUUAUGCAAGCCUGGCGUUGGUUGUCCAGGUGAAAGUGCGUAGAGUUGUUUCUUAGGCAAAUCCGGGAAACUACAUGCUCGAGACACGAGACGAGACUCUAAGGAGUUGAAGUUGCAAAUACCAUGCUUCCAGGAAAAGCCUCUAAACUUAUGAUAUAUCAAACCGUACCCCAAACCGACACAGGUGGUCAGGUAGAGAAUACUAAGGCGCUUGAGAGAACUCGGGUGAAGGAACUCGGCAAAAUUGUACCGUAACUUCGGGAGAAGGUACGCCUCUGUUUGUGAUUGAACUUGCUUCAUGAGCGAAUGGGGGCCGCAGUGAAAUGGUGGCUGGAACUGUUUAUUAAAAACACAGCACUGUGCUAAAUCGAAAGAUGACGUAUACGGUGUGACGCCUGCCCGGUGCCGGAAGGUUAAUUGAUGGGGUUAGUCCUCGGACGAAGCUCUUGAUCGAAGCCCCGGU